GUGUAACCCAGAGUAAAAUCUGUUUUACUAGCAUUUAGUAAUUUCCUGCACUUAUUUCCUGCCAUUGAACGCAUCACAAAUACAUGACUCCAACCACAUGACUUUGCUCAGCCAAUCGGAUGGCAUGUAGGUCAUAGUAAGCCUGUCCCGGCUUCCUCCCGUCAGAUGCGUGGAGGCAAGCCAGGUGACAGAGCUGUUGCAGGCCAGGUGAACCUUUUUGGGUAUGAAAAAGGAUGGCGGGCCAAUGAACGGCUAGGAGCAGGACUCAUUCUGCAUUGAAGCUUCCACUGGUUGGAGGCGGCGGCGAGAGGGGAGACCUCGGCUCAUCCAGCUGGACAGCCUGACCAGGAGGAGCCGAACAUUAACUCGGGUCUUCCAGGGCACCCUGCAGACUCGGCUGCUGGCAUUGGCGAGAGAGUGCGGCCGCGGCUGGGAUGACGUGAACGCCAAACAGGAGUCCAUCACAGCUCCUUGUCUCAGAGUGGGAGGGGUUUGAAGCACAAAGGGAGGAGCUUGUCAUUUGGUUGGCUGUUAUGGAUGUCCACCUGAGUGAGGUUGACCAGCUGACAG
Long non-coding RNA from Oreochromis aureus, 570 nucleotides. The record is from Ensembl. Lineage: Eukaryota; Metazoa; Chordata; Actinopteri; Cichliformes; Cichlidae.